This is a long non-coding RNA of Cyprinus carpio (common carp), 541 nucleotides long. RefSeq lists it as uncharacterized. The transcript is spliced from 2 exons. The record is from RefSeq and is a predicted model, not a curated record. Lineage: Eukaryota; Metazoa; Chordata; Actinopteri; Cypriniformes; Cyprinidae.
GGAGUAAUAAAAGUUUUUGUUGUUGGAAAAAGAAAUUCUGCAGAACAAGGUCUGAAGAAGCAGAUGCAAGUUAUAGAACAGCAUCAGGACCCAAACCAAUUACAGUACGCUGAGGUGGACUUUUCCAAGAUACGUAGAAAUAUUCGGUCCAGCCAAAUCAACAGCACCUAUGCUGCUCUAAACCUGCCGAAAUCAUAAAGACGGGCAUGACUGCUCUUAUACUAUACUUUCUUGAUGUUCAUGUAAUGGUCUAACCACAAUCUGCGUCUAGUGUAAAAAAUAUAGUUUUUUUUUUCUUUUUUAUUAAUGAAUUACAAAUGUUUAAUUUGAUUGAAUGUGAUUUUUAUAAUAUUACUGCUUCAUUUUGCUUUCUAAAGGUGAAAAAAAGUUCUAAAAGGUUGGAAAUCACACAGUUUUUAAUGUAUUGAAAGUAUAUAGUUUUAUAUUUUUCUUUAGGUCUAUAUAGUACGUCUAAAAUCAUUCUAAUAAUGUGCAGGAAAAAAUACAGCUUCUCGAUAGAAAAUAAAUAUCCAAUUUUCAA